Molecule: long non-coding RNA, 208 nt
Organism: Phalaenopsis equestris
Lineage: Eukaryota; Viridiplantae; Streptophyta; Magnoliopsida; Asparagales; Orchidaceae
Exons: 2
Source: RefSeq, a predicted model, not a curated record
GAAAAAAAAAAUACUUGUGUACAAAAAUCAUGUGCUGGAUUCGACAUGAUUUUCUUUUACUUGAUACGCCAAAGCUCUAUAAAUUGAGACUUCAGCCCACAGCAAUCUGAACCAUACAAGAAAACCUCCCUAUUAACCAACCAUGGUUUUCUCCUCAAUGAUUAAGUCCCUUCUCUUCGCCGCAUCCCUCACAAUCCUUCUCGCCAAC